GCAUCUUACAAUGGUUACAAAUAACAUUUUUAUUUCAAGAGGAGGAACUCACAGUGCUAUGGUAAUGGUGUUAUAAAAACAUACAUUUUGUGUGCUUUUAACAGUGUUAUGUUUAAUCACUGAA
Molecule: long non-coding RNA, 124 nt
Organism: Sander lucioperca (pikeperch)
Lineage: Eukaryota; Metazoa; Chordata; Actinopteri; Perciformes; Percidae
Exons: 3
Source: RefSeq, a predicted model, not a curated record